This 253-nucleotide unclassified non-coding RNA is filed under the name uncultured Alphaproteobacteria bacterium. RNAcentral's name for it is "contains 16S-23S intergenic spacer region". It matches the Rfam family "Bacterial small subunit ribosomal RNA", at positions 524 to 776 of the family's 1533-position model. The record is from RNAcentral. Lineage: Bacteria; Pseudomonadati; Pseudomonadota; Alphaproteobacteria.
UACGAAGGGGGCUAGCGUUGUUCGGAUUUACUGGGCGUAAAGCGCACGUAGGCGGGUCGUUAAGUUAGGGGUGAAAUCCCGGAGCUCAACUCCGGAACUGCCUCUAAUACUGGCGACCUAGAGUCCGGAAGAGGUGAGUGGAACUCCUAGUGUAGAGGUGGAAUUCGUAGAUAUUAGGAAGAACACCAGUGGCGAAGGCGGCUCACUGGUCCGGUACUGACGCUGAGGCGCGAAAGCGUGGGGAGCAAACAGG